GAUGAACGCUGGCGGCGGGCCUAACACAUGCAAGUCGAGCGAACAGACGAGGAUCGUGCUUCGCUGACGUGAGCGGCGGACGGGUGAGGAACAGGUGGAUAACCUACCUAUAGGACUGAGGUAAGGUCGGGAAACCGGAGAUAAUACAGGAUAAGAUAUUGAACGGGAGGGAUCAAUAGAGAAAGAGGGUUUUGAUGAGACUAAUAGAGAGAUCCGGGCCGCAUUAGCUAGUUGGUAAGGUAACGGCCUACCAAGGCAACGAUGCGUAGCCGACCUGAGAGGGUGAUCGGCCACACUGGAACUGAGACACGGUCCAGACUCCUACGGGAGGCAGCAGUAGGGAAUCUUCCACAAUGGGCGAAAGCCUGACGGAGCAACGCCGCGUGUGUGAUGAAGGUCUUCGGAUCGUAAAACUCUGUUAUUAGGGAAGAACAACUGUGUAUGUAUCUCUGCACGUCUUGACGGUACCUAAAGAGAAAGCACCGGCUAACUACGUG
RNAcentral lists this ribosomal RNA (497 nucleotides) under uncultured bacterium. RNAcentral describes it as "partial 16S ribosomal RNA". It matches the Rfam family "Bacterial small subunit ribosomal RNA", at positions 28 to 507 of the family's 1533-position model. The record is from RNAcentral.